Molecule: non-coding RNA, 22 nt
Filed under: Arabidopsis thaliana (thale cress)
Lineage: Eukaryota; Viridiplantae; Streptophyta; Magnoliopsida; Brassicales; Brassicaceae
Source: RNAcentral
UAUGACUGUGUCGUCUCACUGC